Long non-coding RNA from Papaver somniferum (opium poppy), 920 nucleotides. RefSeq lists it as uncharacterized. The transcript is spliced from 6 exons. The record is from RefSeq and is a predicted model, not a curated record. NCBI's taxonomy places the organism in Eukaryota, Viridiplantae, Streptophyta, Magnoliopsida, Ranunculales, Papaveraceae.
CGAGCACGUAGAGGAAAAAAUACUAACCGAGCUCUCCUCUCCUCUCCUCUGUUCCCAAAAAUGGCGACAAACACAAUGACAAUCUUCUCAACCUCAACCUCAAUUUCUUGUUCAUCGUUCUUCCUAUGCUCUUCUCCUCUAAAUACUUCUCUUCUUCUUGGUUCACAACCGACUCCCUUCAAAUCCACAAAAUCUCACUUCAAUUUGAGAUUAAAUCGAUUCAGAAAUCCUUCUACUGUUCCUGUUGUAAAAGCACAAGCCACCCCAGACUCCAGAUUUUACAAGAUUGAGAAAGAGAUUUGCACAGGUUUCAUCGGUUGUGCUGAAAAUGGAAAUUCUCGGUGUUGCAAUUUCUGACUUGCGAGAUUUGGUGCCCAGAGUGGGUCAAUAGAGAGACAUGCUGGUUCUGAAGACAACUUCGUAGCAAAAGUUAAGCCGGAGCCUGUAGUCAGCAAAGAACAGGUUGGUGAGGCACCAAGUGAGUUUCCAUUCAAGAUUGUGGAUAAUGAUGGAGCUGAAACUAUUACACUGACUAGGAACUAUCAAGGUGAGGAGAUCAAAGUCACAGUGUUCAAGCAUGAUCUCUCUGGUGAUUAUGAAGAGGGUGAUGAGGAAGACCAAGACGACCAGGAAGCAAAUCAAGGUGGUGAGGAGGUGGAAGAAGAAGCUGGUUCUCAGCCUGUUGAUAUGGUUGUAACUGUUACGAAAAAAACCGGUCCAACUUUGGAAUUCGAUGUUAUGGUUGAGGCAGAUGAAAUUACAAUCAACAAUUUGGCUGUCAAGAAUCCAAAUGUUUCGGAUGAGGAUAUUGCUUACGAAGGACCUGAGUUCUCGAGUUUGGAUGCGGAACUGCAGGAAGCUUUCCACACAUAUUUGGAAGUCAGAGGGAUUAAACCAAGCAUUGCCAAUUUCUUACAUGA